This 838-nucleotide long non-coding RNA is filed under the name Androctonus crassicauda. The record is from RNAcentral. Lineage: Eukaryota; Metazoa; Arthropoda; Arachnida; Scorpiones; Buthidae.
AUUACGUUAAUUAUAUUGAUUUUUCUCUAAAAUAGAGCUGUGAUUAUUAUAUUAGACAUAGAUUUUAUGUUAAUUUUUGCUAAAAAAAUAUUCUUAAAACUUCAAGAGAAAGUUUACUGACGAAUUCUUUUGAAAUACAAACCUUUAGUUGUGUGCCUAAAGGAGUAAACUUUCUCAUGAUAUUGUUAAGACGUUGAACAAAUCAGUGAAAUUUGCAGUAACACGCUCAUAUUUGAUAAAACUUCUUAGGAAUUUUUCAAAGUUUAUUAGUUAUCAUAUGUAUUAACUUAAAAUUUUCAGAAUUUUAAUUAUAUAGAAGCGCUUGAGAUGUAUCGAAACAGCGACACAAAUAUAUUGAUCCGUGUAAAAAUAAAAUUUAAAAAAGUUAACAAAAAAAAGAACAAAUAUGUCUUCGGAGACGUACACAUAGUUGAAUUUGAUAUUUGUAUAAAUCGAAUUAUUAAAGACAGCAUCAGAAAGAUUCACACUUUUAAAAUAAGAUUUACAUCCACUAAUCUUUUAAAAAGCUAGUUUAAUAUUGAUUUACGACAAAGAAAUGCUAUAAAAUUAAGACAGAAAAAUCUAUCUAAAACCUGAGCAGUAAAAAUUUUAAGGUUGCUGCACUUUAAUCGGAAAAGUCUCAGUGCGAUCCGACUACUUUCUAGUCACAAUAAAUCUAUUCAUAAACACAUAAAUAUGAGUGCUUUGGUAGUAAAAAUUUAUAGAGCAAUAAAAAUAUGUAACUCCAUACAGUCUGUUAAAUUUCAUCUUAGGAAGAGUCAAACGAUUUUUCAUUUAUAACUUUUAGAUUGUUUAAUGAAACCUUUAUAAGUCCCGC